GGCCUCGUGGUCUAGUGGUAUGAUACUCGCUUAGGGUACACCCUCAAGCUCCGUUUGCGAGUGGUCCCGGGUUCGAGUCCCGGCGAGGCCC
This 91-nucleotide transfer RNA is filed under the name Hypoxylon trugodes. Its description in RNAcentral is "tRNA-Pro". It matches the Rfam family "tRNA". From Rfam's summary of the family: Transfer RNA (tRNA) molecules are approximately 80 nucleotides in length. The record is from RNAcentral. Lineage: Eukaryota; Fungi; Ascomycota; Sordariomycetes; Xylariales; Hypoxylaceae.